CGUAGGUGGCAAGCGUUGUCCGGAAUUAUUGGGCGUAAAGCGCGCGCAGGCGGUCCUUUAAGUCUGAUGUGAAAGCCCACGGCUCAACCGUGGAGGGUCAUUGGAAACUGGGGGACUUGAGUGCAGAAGAGGAAAGCGGAAUUCCACGUGUAGCGGUGAAAUGCGUAGAGAUGUGGAGGAACACCAGUGGCGAAGGCGGCUUUCUGGUCUGUAACUGACGCUGAGGCGCGAAAGCGUGGGGAGCAAACAGGAUUAGAUACCCUGGUAGUCCACGCCGUAAACGAUGAGUGCUAAGUGUUAGAGGGUUUCCGCCCCUUAGUGCUGCAGCUAACGCAUUAAGCACUCCGCCUGGGGAGUACGGCCGCAAGGCUG
This 372-nucleotide ribosomal RNA is filed under the name uncultured organism. RNAcentral describes it as "bacterial SSU rRNA". It matches the Rfam family "Bacterial small subunit ribosomal RNA", at positions 526 to 896 of the family's 1533-position model. The record is from RNAcentral.